This is a long non-coding RNA of Lagopus muta (rock ptarmigan), 1223 nucleotides long. RefSeq lists it as uncharacterized. NCBI's taxonomy places the organism in Eukaryota, Metazoa, Chordata, Aves, Galliformes, Phasianidae. The record is from RefSeq and is a predicted model, not a curated record. The transcript has 4 exons.
AGUUUGUCUUUGUUUUGAAAUGUUUCUUCAUUUCAUUAGUCAUUAAUAUGUAGUAAUCAAUAUAGCUUGUUUUUACACAGCUUCAGAUCUUUCAGGUUAUCCUGCGUGCUUGAGGGAGAAAAGUAUUUGCUCUUGAAGGAACCUGUAAUCACCUCACCCACUAUGUCAUUGCUACUAGAACUUCUUAGACAAGAAACAUGGUAUGUGGCUGUCCAAAAGGGCAAAGCUGACAGGAGACAGGAAUGAGAUUGAAGCUGGAUAGGCACCCGGCAGCCAGCCAAGAUCAACCCAUCACAGUAGUUUAAAACCCUAAAUCUUACUGCUGCAUAUUUCUUCAGUAGGGAUAGCUGAAAUUACUUCAUCUCAUGACCAAACUACAAGAAAAUGUCUUCUGCUGAAGAAAAAAAACCAACAAAAUUCUGUAAGAUAUUGUAGAUGGUAUACCACCAUAUUCUACUAAACAGAGUGGAAAGCAUUCUGCUUUGUGUUGUGGACUCUUCCAUUGGAUCAUGGUCCCUCUUGUAGACAAAUAAAUGGCACAAAAUUGUAAAGCACUCAUUUGUUGAUUCACCUUUAAACUCCCUUACUUUAGAAAAGAUUUGUUACUUUGGGAGCAGGAAGAUGAUAAAGGAGCUAAAAAAGGGACAAGUCUUUUUCUUUCCAUCCUCUCUACUAACAGGUCACUUCUGUAUUGAAAAGCUUCAUUCUGUACAGGUUCAUAUAAUGUUCCUAUUACAAUGAUGCUUUAUAUUUUUAUUGUUGCUCCUUCUUAUACGUCCAGUUAUAUGACACUGAUAUUGAAUCUCUUUUGUAGUGACUACAUUAGCUCAGAUUUUAUCAUUUAAAUUCUAUCACCAUUCUUCAAGAAAUAGGUAUUUAGUAUUUACAAACCAGGCAAACAAAAAUCUUUCUGUGUCAUCUAAUAAGUUACCUAAUAUUUUUGAUAUUCUUUUUAAAUGAAAAUUUUCAACUUCAGUGCAAGAAGGCACCAUUUGUUUCUAAUUUGUUCCUGUUUAAUAUACAGUUGUCAAGAAUUUCAUUCUUUCUAUCUAUCCGUCUUUCCCUCUUUCUUUUAGAUCUUUUACUAUUGCUAUAGUAAAAAAGCAAAUAUUGAUAAAUGAAUCUUGUCGUUAAGGGAGAGCAGUUUUGCAGCAGAAUGAAAAGUUAUAUCUGUGCUUCAAGUUAUUAGAAGGCAAUUAUUCUUUUGAGACAUAAAUGCAUGU